Molecule: ribosomal RNA, 383 nt
Filed under: uncultured eukaryote
Lineage: Eukaryota
Description: partial 18S ribosomal RNA
Rfam family: Eukaryotic small subunit ribosomal RNA
Source: RNAcentral
CAAUAGCGUAUAUUAAAGUUGUUGCAGUUAAAAAGCUCGUAGUUGGAUUUCUGGUGGGAGCGAUCGGUCUGGCGCUUAGCGCGAGUACUUGCAUCGUCUCCGGCCAUCCUUGGGGAGAGUCUGUCUGGCAUUAGGUUGUCGGGCAGAGGUUCCUCAUCGUUUACUGUGAAAAAAUUAGAGUGUUCAAAGCAGGCUUAUGCCGUUGAAUAUAUUAGCAUGGAAUAAUAAGAUAGGACUUUGGUACUAUUUUGUUGGUUUGCGCACCAAAGUAAUGAUUAAUAGGGACAGUUGGGGGUAUUCGUAUUCCGUUGUCAGAGGUGAAAUUCUUGGAUUUACGGAAGACGAACUACUGCGAAAGCAUUUACCAAGGAUGUUUUCAUUAA